GGUAGUUAAGCAAUAUUGUUAUAGGAUGCAGAGCAUGGGACGACUACAGGCAUAUCAAUGCAUGACAGGGCGGCAACAGCUUUGGCUCUUGCGUCUAGAGAUUCCAAAACCUGAAGAUUUCAACAGGCCGGGACAUGUUUUCCCAUUGAAGUACAGGGAGGUUGGUGUCCUGAAAAGAGCUGGGCAUACAGGGGCUUCUGUCCACCUUGCUGUGUUAGCUGGAUUGGAACCCCUGACAGUUCUCUUUGCGAGGUAGUGGAUGAUGAUGGCUCCAUGGCAAGAUUACCUGAGCUUCGUGAGUUUACACAGCAGGAGAAUUGAAAAUUGCAUCCUUGCUGAUUUAAUCAGGUAAGUAUUCUCUUCCCAGCAAUCCAAAUGCAUAUACUUUUUAAGGACAUGUAGUCCCCAGUCGAAUCCAAUUUCAGCUGCAACUUUCACUUCUUAAGUAUUGGCUCUUUUGGUCAAGAUGUUGUCGCUGCAGCAUCUCCCUUUUGGGAGUGGAUAAAGAGUCUCUCAUGGGGUGCUGAUGGGCUUUUGUUUUACAUAGCAAAAAACGAGAGAAGCAUAGGCCAUCUUGGUCUAUUCGUGUCUGAAGUUUAUUUUAUGCUUUAAACUUGUGGUUAUUAUUCUGAUCAUUGAAAUACCAUGGAGAUCAAUAGUUUUGGGAUCUGAAGAAUUUGUUUCUCACAAUAUUUUUUGUGUAUGGUGUUGUUAGAUUGGUGUUUGCAGUUCAUCUAUUACCCGAUGUUUAACUUGAGAAAUUGGUUAUAACUGGCCAGGAUUCUUGUUGAGUCAUGUCAAUGAGCCCGUGACCUCCAUUAUCUCUGUGUACAUUUUCUUGCAUUUACCUUGUUUCAAAACCUAUAUCUGAAUGUCAGUUGACCAUUAACUGAGGCGGAGAUUGAGGUGAUUCUCAGCAUCAUCACUAGGAAAUAAGGAUAGAACAUCUUGAUUGUCAAAAGAGCGCUUGAAGUUGUCUGAUGUAUUCUGACUUGUAUAUUGAGAAGCUUCUUGUACUGUAUGAUUGAGAAAAUUUCACUGUUCAAUAGAUUCAUAAAUUUAUAGGUACCACUGGAAAAGAGAUAAAUUAGUUGAAUGUGUUGUUGCUGCUAGAUUACCAACAUCGUCGGGCCUUUUACAGCCCAUUGCUAUAGGUCAAUAUUAGAUGGAAUCAAGCACAUUGCAAUGGUCAAGGUGAGAUAAAUUAUGAGUUAAUUGUUAAAACUGUUUUAAAAAUCUAGACACUAAUGAAAAGAGAGUUUUGAGUGGAUUAAUUGUAAACUUUGUAGAUCUCAUUUCUAGCAGUCCAAUUUUCAACACAACUUCAAUUUGAGCUUCAUCUUAUGUACUUCCAGUGCGUGGUUUUGUUUGACAAUGAAUUUAAUGGAACAGGGUAUCAAGCUUUAGAGUUGAAUAAUCACCCCACUGAGAAAUUGAUGGUAUCUUUUGGGUGGAACUCCAUUUCAUGUAUCUUGAAGUUUGUAAAAGAAGUAUCUAGUAUCUAAUCAUGUGUCAAACAUAAUUUGGAGUACCAAAUUUAUCUUACUUGGAUAACAAUUUUGUCAGGACAGGAAAGUUUAACAUUGGGAGAAAUGAUUGUUAGGAUAUUAGAGGAACUGCUGGGAACAAUAAUUCUUUCUUAUAGUUUAUGAAAUGAUUGAACUGGGGCCUGUAUGUGUCUGCAAUUGAUAUCAGCAUGCCGUAAUUUUAAUCAAUAGUAAUAUCUUUAGUUUUUCCUAUUUUUUGUCCUCCCUUCAGACUGCAAUAUUUCCCAUCAUGUGAUUCAUACUUCAUUGCAUCUGAAGAGGGCAACAUUGAAGAUUGAUGAGAUGUCCUUGUGAGGGUACAAUUGGCAUGCCUCAUAGGAGACAUAUUUGGAUCUGCUAGAUGCAACUGCGGCAACCAGCUUGCACUUGCGAUGCAGCAGAUAGAAGCAGCGUGUUGGUCUACCUUUGAGGGCAUGAAGGAAGAGGAAUAGGUUUAACCUGCAGGAUGGUAGGCGUGAAUCCAUGGAAGCAAAUGUGGAGCUUGGAUUGCCCGUUUACUCUCGAGAGUAUGGAAUUGGUACUCAGCUCAUGAAGAACGUGGGGCUUAGAGGUUAUGGCCUGAUGAUUGCUGAGAGAGUCCCUCUAGUAACUCCUACAGCAAAGGAGAAUAAGAGAUGCUUGGAGACAAAACGCUCCAAUAUGGGCACAUCUAUGGGAGCGUACAAUGGCCUCGUCAGCAAUCUCAUCAGCAAAAACGGCAAGACGAGCAGCCCUAUUUCUUUUGAUCCAGCUGUGUCUGACUCAUGAAACCUGCUAAAUAGUUCAACAGCUAAUGAUUUACGCGGGGGCUCACAAGCAAGUUCACUGACAGAUGGUGUUAUUACUUAAUUUUAAAAGCACCAAGUUAAAGAACAUUGGGAUUCCUGCUGAUGAUGAGUUCUGGAAAUUUGAUGGGGAUCCAGUUUUAUAAUUAAUCUAAGAUUCAUUAUUGUUCUA
Long non-coding RNA from Eucalyptus grandis, 2483 nucleotides. RefSeq lists it as uncharacterized. The record is from RefSeq and is a predicted model, not a curated record. Lineage: Eukaryota; Viridiplantae; Streptophyta; Magnoliopsida; Myrtales; Myrtaceae. The transcript is spliced from 2 exons.